RNAcentral lists this ribosomal RNA (1031 nucleotides) under Neisseria sp. HMSC066B07. RNAcentral describes it as "bacterial LSU rRNA". It matches the Rfam family "Bacterial large subunit ribosomal RNA", at positions 806 to 1822 of the family's 2925-position model. The record is from RNAcentral. Lineage: Bacteria; Pseudomonadati; Pseudomonadota; Betaproteobacteria; Neisseriales; Neisseriaceae.
GAGCUGUGGAUAGGGGUGAAAGGCUAAACAAACUCGGAGAUAGCUGGUUCUCCCCGAAAACUAUUUAGGUAGUGCCUCGAGCAAGACACUGAUGGGGGUAAAGCACUGUUAUGGCUAGGGGGUUAUUGCAACUUACCAACCCAUGGCAAACUAAGAAUACCAUCAAGUGGUUCCUCGGGAGACAGACAGCGGGUGCUAACGUCCGUUGUCAAGAGGGAAACAACCCAGACCGCCAGCUAAGGUCCCAAAUGAUAGAUUAAGUGGUAAACGAAGUGGGAAGGCCCAGACAGCCAGGAUGUUGGCUUAGAAGCAGCCAUCAUUUAAAGAAAGCGUAAUAGCUCACUGGUCGAGUCGUCCUGCGCGGAAGAUGUAACGGGGCUCAAAUCUAUAACCGAAGCUGCGGAUGCCAGUUUACUGGCAUGGUAGGGGAGCGUUCUGUAGGCUGAUGAAGGUGCAUUGUAAAGUGUGCUGGAGGUAUCAGAAGUGCGAAUGUUGACAUGAGUAGCGAUAAAGCGGGUGAAAAGCCCGCUCGCCGAAAGCCCAAGGUUUCCUACGCAACGUUCAUCGGCGUAGGGUGAGUCGGCCCCUAAGGCGAGGCAGAAAUGCGUAGUCGAUGGGAAACAGGUUAAUAUUCCUGUACUUGAUUCAAAUGCGAUGUGGGGACGGAGAAGGUUAGGUUAGCAAGCUGUUGGAAUAGCUUGUUUAAGCCGGUAGGUGGAAGACUUAGGCAAAUCCGGGUCUUCUUAACACCGAGAAGUGAUGACGAGUGUCUACGGACAUGAAGUAACCGAUACCACGCUUCCAGGAAAAGCCACUAAGCUUCAGUUUGAAUUGAACCGUACCGCAAACCGACACAGGUGGGCAGGAUGAGAAUUCUAAGGCGCUUGAGAGAACUCGGGAGAAGGAACUCGGCAAAUUGAUACCGUAACUUCGGGAGAAGGUAUGCCCUCUAAGGUUAAGGACUUGCUCCGUAAGCCCUGGAGGGUCGCAGAGAAUAGGUGGCUGCGACUGUUUAUUAAAAACACAGCACU